AUUAAGUUCAAGAUGGGGAGGGGUUGGGGUGAGGGCUGGCCUGUCUGAGGAGGGGCAUUUGCAGUGCUGGAGCAAGCCAUGGAGGACAGGAAUUGCUCCAGUCAGAGGAACAGCAAGGACAAGGGGCCCAAGACGGCAUGUACUAGAGGCUCCACGCAUAGAAAAAGCCAGCCAUCCCCAGCGCUGUAACUGAGUGGCCAGUGGUGGGAGGUGAGGUCACAGACGCGGAGGGGGCAUACAUGGGUCUUUGUAAUAGUUAAUUUUAUGCAUCAACUUGACUGGAUCACAGUGUGCCCAGAUAUUUGAUCAAACAUUAUUCUGAGUGUUUCCGUGACAAUGUUUUUGGAUACAAUCAACAUUUAUUUAAUUGGUUGAAGACCUGAAUAGAACAAAGAGUUCAAUUCUCUCAAGUAAGAGAAUUCCUCCUGUCUGACUACUUCAGAAUUGGGACAUUGGCUUUUUCCUGCCUCUACACUACAACUACACCAUCAAGCCUUCAGACAUGGAAAGGAACCACACUAUUGGCUCUCCUCGGUCUUCAGCUUGCCAACUCAAUGCAGAUCUUUGCAUUUGUCAGCCUUAUAACCAUGUGAGCUAAUUCCCUAAAAUAAAUGUCCUCAUUUAAAUGUAUUUCCUAUUGCUGUUUCUCUAGAGAACUCUAAUACAACCCCAUACAAAAGUACACCACACUAGAAGAAUUGGGUUAAAUCGAAUUACAAAAAAAAGAAGAAGAUUAAACUCAUAUGCUCAUAAUUUGGGACUUUCAUGUUUGUAAUUAUCUGCUAAAUUCCCUCAAUGGCCCAUUUCAUAGAAGAGCAGAACUCCAUGGCUCCUAAGACUCUAUGUGCCCCUCAGUCUGUUGCCACCAGGCCUCUUCUCUUGCAACUCUCAUGCUCAUUGACACAUUCCAGCCAUGCUGGCCUCCUUGAUACUCCUCAACAGGCCAGGCAGGUCCUGCCUCAGGGCCUUUGCAUGUGCUGUGCCUCUGCUUGGACUGCUCUUCUCCCACAUCUCCACAUGGCUGCCUCCCUCCCUCCCAUCUUUACUAAGCUGCUGCCUUCCUUGGGAGCUCA
RNAcentral lists this long non-coding RNA (1073 nucleotides) under Homo sapiens (human). Its description in RNAcentral is "HSALNT0360456". The record is from RNAcentral. Lineage: Eukaryota; Metazoa; Chordata; Mammalia; Primates; Hominidae.